Ictidomys tridecemlineatus (thirteen-lined ground squirrel) is the source of this 107-nucleotide small nuclear RNA. The record is from Ensembl. Lineage: Eukaryota; Metazoa; Chordata; Mammalia; Rodentia; Sciuridae.
CUGCUUGCUUGGGAAGCAUGUGUACUAAAAUCGGAAUGAUGCAAAGAAAAUUAGCAUGGCCCCUGAGCAAGUAUAACAUGCAAAUUCAUGAAGCAUUCUGUAUUUUU